AGAACAAGAUGUAGCCAAGGACAACUUGCCGGAAGACAGGCACCGCACGGUAUGGGCUCAAAAUUCCAAACAGAUUGCAUAUGCUCCCCUGUAACAUGCAUGCUCAAAAUACCCGGCAAGUCAUCCUUGGCUGCAUCCCACUCUCU
Molecule: non-coding RNA, 146 nt
Organism: Zea mays
Lineage: Eukaryota; Viridiplantae; Streptophyta; Magnoliopsida; Poales; Poaceae
Source: Rfam